GAGUUUGAUCGUGGCUCAGAUUGAACGCUGGCGGCAGGCCUAACACAUGCAAGUCGAGCGGAUGACGGGAGCUUGCUCCUUGAUUCAGCGGCGGACGGGUGAGUAAUGCCUGGGAAUCUGCCUGGUAGUGGGGGACAACGUUUCGAAAGGAACGCUAAUACCGCAUACGUCCUACGGGAGAAAGCAGGGGACCUUCGGGCCUUGCGCUAUCAGAUGAGCCUAGGUCGGAUUAGCUAGUUGGUGGGGUAAUGGCUCACCAAGGCGACGAUCCGUAACUGGUCUGAGAGGAUGAUCAGUCACACUGGAACUGAGACACGGUCCAGACUCCUACGGGAGGCAGCAGUGGGGAAUAUUGGACAAUGGGCGAAAGCCUGAUCCAGCCAUGCCGCGUGUGUGAAGAAGGUCUUCGGAUUGUAAAGCACUUAAGUUGGAGGAAGGCAGUAAGUAAUACCUUGCUGUUUGACGUUACCGACAGAAUAAGCACCGGCUAACUCUGUGACAGCCGCCG
Molecule: ribosomal RNA, 508 nt
Filed under: bacterium enrichment culture clone ALO1_GLFRUDD03F0W9F
Lineage: Bacteria
Description: bacterial SSU rRNA
Rfam family: Bacterial small subunit ribosomal RNA
Source: RNAcentral